GGAGCCGCAUCCGCCCAUGUGCCGCAGGUUCUCUUACAUCGACCGCCUAAGAGUCGCGCUGUAAGAAGCAACAACCUCUCCUCCUCUCCGCCAUCUGCUCGGCAGCCGCAAAGCAGCAACCAUGCGUGAAUGCAUCUCCAUCCACGUUGGCCAGGCUGGUGUUCAGAUCGGCAAUGCCUGCUGGGAGCUCUAUUGCCUGGAACACGGCAUCCAGCCCGAUGGCCAGAUGCCAAGUGACAAGACCAUUGGGGGAGGAGAUGACUCCUU
This is a non-coding RNA of Puma concolor (puma), 267 nucleotides long. The record is from RefSeq and is a predicted model, not a curated record. Lineage: Eukaryota; Metazoa; Chordata; Mammalia; Carnivora; Felidae.